Ictalurus furcatus (blue catfish) is the source of this 5483-nucleotide RNA transcript. It is a transcript of the gene named MIS18 binding protein 1, with no coding region annotated. The transcript is spliced from 16 exons. The record is from RefSeq and is a predicted model, not a curated record. NCBI's taxonomy places the organism in Eukaryota, Metazoa, Chordata, Actinopteri, Siluriformes, Ictaluridae.
CAAUGCAACUGCGAUGGGUGGGGGAUUGAGGUUUUUGUCGGUUAGCAUCAGUUUGUUUUCUUCGGAACUCAACAAAUCCUCAGAAGUUGCUUGUUUGGUAUUAUAGUGUUAUGAGGCGUCUAUCUUGCGCUGAAAAUCGGUUUGUUUUUAGAAAAUGUUUCUUAUUAACGGCUUAACGCGUUGGCGACUAUCACUGAGUUUUCUAAUUUCAGAAAGAUACAUUAGUAAUACUAAUUUUUCAACGACGAUGUGCAGUCCUAUCUACAGAAUAAUUGUAACGUUUGCUUGACAGUGUCACGAAAACUAGAUAGUCAAUGAACUAAGCAAUCUAAUUUAGCGUAGUAGGCGAACGCCCAUGUUAUGGCCUGUUUUUGUGUACUACUCUGAUAUUGAAUCCUUUGCUUACGUUAAUAUUCUGUUAUUGCAGGCGAUGUACCUAUAGAACUGUAUUGAAAAAAUCAGAAGUUAGUUGGAUAUCUAUGCUUUUCAAAACAAUUUGAAUUUGCUUUUGACCUGUAAAAAAAAGUAAUUAACAUACUAUACUAUAUUUUCCUUAUUCACUUUCCAUUAGGAAUAUAGCUGAUGACUCCUGGGACUUGUAUCCAGCUCCUUUUCUCCAUAGCUCAUGUAUCUCUCUCCAGCCAAGUGUCUCUCAUCUCCUCUGCACCAUGAGCUGUAUUAUAACACUCCUGUGCGGGACAUGACUGAAACCCUGGCGCGGUCAAACAGAAUAAGCAGAAACUGCACUGCAGUGGUGAUGAAUUCCACAGUACAGGAUCAUCAGCUUCGAGCAGUGUCCAGAGCAGCCAUGAGCUGUGAGCUCAGCACCAUUAACAACUCGGUGAUUCCUAUGAAACGAGUAACUGACACACCAGCAAAAGUCUUUGCCAGACUGAAAGCCAAAGUUCAGAGGCAGAGCUCAGAAGAGCACAGAGAAGUCAAUGUCAUACCCAGACAGCUGGAUAGGGGUGUCUCGUUGUCCACAAAUAUGCAGCAGCCACCAGUUGAUGAUGCCCCAUCAGAAGGACGGGAUACGUAUGUGCUGUCACUUUCACCUCCCGAGUCCAUGAGCAAAAUCUCAGAAUUAGAAGAUCCCCAAAUGACAUCACAACUUGAUAUAGAAGGAGACCAUAACCCUGACUUGGUUCACAAACCUGUUAUUGCGCUUGAAAAGAUGCUCACUGAAACCUUCACCCAGGCUCAGCAAAAGAAAAUUGGAAUUAAUGGCACCAGCAAGUCCACAAAUCUAAAACAAGAAGCAUAUGUUUUACUGGAGCGCAUGCCUGACGCCUUACCUGCUCAGCCAGGACCUGCAAAGCCAAUCCAGUUAAUGAAUCGUGUCAGAAAUAGAAGUUAUCAUGGUGUGUUUGGUGAGAUGAGUGUAAAGGACGAAUCAGAAGGUGCAGUAGAUGAUGACUGCAAUAGGGUGAAUACACUUCAGACAUUGGACAUUGCUGCCCGAAGCCAGCCAGAGCCACAAAGACCAGAGAAAAUGUCUAAUAGGCAGUGUGAGCAUUUAGACGCACCACCUCGGACGCAUCCUAAUCUGAUGGAGGAUUCUCUCCUGCAGCUAUCACCCCGCAUCUCCAUCCCCCGGAAGCAAAUGGCAGCAGUUAAGGCCAAACAGCAGACUAAAGAAAUAGAUCAAGCUCUGGAUGGAAGUACGAAUGUGAAUGGGAUUCAGUUAAGAGAUUGGAUCUUGAAACUACACAACAAAGAACUUAUUGUUGAUGGCAUACGAAUAGACAGCAAGAUCCCUUGGCACAGUAGUUGCAUCACUGAGCGAGUUUCAAGUAACAUAGUUAAGACUGCAUCUGGGGGAACCUAUGUUCUUGUUGGAAAGAUGUCACACUACCACACUACAUCAUUUCCUUCAUGGUUUUUGAAGAAGUUUCUUUUUGGCUUUCCGGAAAUGUGGAAGGAGUACCUGAAUAAAUUCUUGGCUGAUAAUGAUGGAAGUGGAAAAAAUCGACAGAGGAACAAGUCAGCACCAUGUGAACCACAAAAGAAACGGCCCUCCAGAAAACAAAUAUCCAAACAACUUAAGUCAAAGGACCAGGUGACACCUGUUAGUUCUGCAGGCAGUGUGCAGCCUCACAGUGCUCCAGUUUCCCGCAGUGGCCGUGUCAUUAAACCUCCUCUGGAGUAUUGGAGAGGAGGCAGGAUCACUGUAGGGCCCGAUAUGAAUGUUACGCCAAAAACAAGACCAGUGGUACGUUUAAAGCCACUAAAAUUGCCCAAAGAACAGCCAGUCUACAAAUCUGAAAUGCAAAACAGCAAUGAUGAGGAUACUUUGGCAUCAAGGAGACGUGUUAAACAACAUAAGUCUUGGAGGACUGAGGGAACCAAAGCAUGGGAAAAUGCUUCACAGAAGAACUCUCAUGAUGCAGUUUUCAAUUCAGACUCUGGAUCAGAAAAAGCCGCUGCCAAACAGCUUUCUCCUCAGCAAGCACAGUCUGAGCAAAUGUACCUCAGGAGGGGACGGUCAUAUUCUAGAGUGAGAAACUCGACGGACUCGGAGUCUGAGGUGUUCAAGUUUGGUCCGUAUUGUACUUCAGAUGAAGAUGGUGUUUCUGCAUUCCAGGCCCCUGAGGGAAAAAUUCAAACACGGCUCAACCGAAAGCAUCUGCAGAGAGUAGUUCAGAGGGAGAAGCGCUCCACUCCAUGCUCAGACUCUGACACCAGUUCCACACAAUCUCAAGUUCAGAAAAGUGCAGAUUCAGAUCACUUAUUUACACCACCAGUGCCUAGAAAAGGAUGCAGAAGAAAAGCCUUGGUGCAGAAAAGCAAACUAGUUCCACCGAGUGUUACCAUGUCUGAGAUUGAGGACUCUCGUUUCUCUACGCAACAGGGUAAAGUGACAAAUAAAAAGAACACACGGAGGCAAAAGAAGGUUCCACAGAAUUAUAACAAUUAUGUAAAGUCCGAUGCUGGUGAUGAAAGUCUCCCUUCAGAGCUGAUUAGAGAAGAUAAAAGCAAGAAUUCAAAGCCUACUCUGAAGAGGACAAGACAAAGGGAACACGCUGGAGCUUCUGAAAGGACAACGAAUGGACAUGCCCUCCUGGUUGAUAAACAUCCUGAACAAUCUGAAAAGACAGAUAAUCCUCAGUUUCAUGUGUCGGAUAACACUGGCAGGAAACCAAAGUCAUCAGUAAGCAGAAGAAACAAGAAGGAGCAAACUGCAAAGCACCCUGAGAUCGAACAAGAUGCGCUAGAAGGAGCAUGGACCGAUAAAGAGUUGCAUAAACUUAAUGAGGCUGUGAACUCAUUACCCAAGCACAAGAAUGGUUACUGGGUAAAUGUCUCACUGGUCGUUGGCACACGUUCAGCUGAGGAGUGCCAGAAACAGUACACUGCACUUUACCAAACUCAUGGACGAUCCAAAGGAAGACAUAAGGCAAAGACUUCUAAAACAGAUGAACCAGCAAAAGAAAUGGCUCCAAUUACUGCUAAGGUUGGAACACUCAAGAGGAAGAAACAGAUGUGGAACUUUUUGGAUCAUAUGUCCAAAGAUGAUCAUGAUGACAUAUUUGCCGGCUCACCAAUGCGCAGUAAACAAAUCAAGUUGCCUGUAUGGUCAACAAAUGGAGAUGAGCCAGAUUUUGGCCAUCUACAAAAUCCACAAACUCCCAGCUCAACCAUGUUUUCUUCGGUGAAAACACCUCAGUGUUUGCACAUUACCCCAGGAAUGCUGCACUCUAUCAACAGGGACAACAAUGAUAAGUAUAUUUACCACCUACAGAAGGUAAAAAGGCAAGGCAACCAUGGAAGAAAAGGCAGCCCUAAGGUACGUGUGACUUUACAAAUGACCCAUGCUAACUGUUUUUGUUUGUUUAUUUAUUUGAUUGAUAGAUCCCCCCGGUCACUUGCCAAAACCCACCCACCGGCCUGCUUAUACAACAGCUACCAACUGGGGAGGGUGAAGACUCACACAUGCUUCCUCCAAGCAGGGGUUACAUUAAAUCAUUAUCUGUUACAUUAACAGACAGGGUUGCAAAAAUUUUCAGUCUUUUUAUCUGCCAUUUCCUAUUUAUUUGCCAGUUCAACAAUUGACACCUUUCUCCAGUGAUGGUCUUUUGAUAUGCUGUCUUGCAUAGCAGCGGCCCCGUUUCCACUUUUAACAUUGUUUAUGUACUUGUAUGCAUGAAUGAUAGCAAAUCCCAACUGUGAUCUAAUGGUAUACUCCAGAUGAAGCUUAGCGAAAUCCUGUACAGACUGAUUUACUGCUGAGUUUUUUGUGAUUGUUGCAGGCAAAAAUGCUUGAUUUUCUGCAGCUUUUCUCAAAAGUUUUUUUUUUUGCAGGAAAAGCUGCUUGAAUUGUUGAAAUUGUUUUGCACGGUCUUUCACAGUGAUGUACUCCUGUUUGACGCACAUGAAUCGAAAAGGACUUAUGAAUAUGGAUUGUGAUGAUGUCACAUGACACCUCUUGGCCCAAAUCUGCGAUAAUUUUGAAAAAUUGCAAGCUCCUGUGUAUAUCACGGUUUCUCCUUGAUUUUGUAUUAAUUUCUGCUAUUGCAAAGUUUAGUUUCUUAAUGAAUGGCAUGUCCAUUUUAAAGGUUUAUUGUUAAGAUUUAAUGUUGUUUCCUUUAUCGCAUAUGUUAUAGCCAUGAUAAACAGUCACUCCCUCACCAGCCUUUCUCUCUCUCUCUCCCUCUCUGUCUCUCUCUCUCACUCAAAAACGUAGCUUGUCAUUUCACAGAGAAACCAAAUGUCUUCCACCCUAAAGACUUUCCUGCAUUGGGAAACUUUACAAAGUACUGUGACUGUUACAAAGCGCUGACAACUGAGACUCCUUUCAUAAAUGUUAACUAAAUGUCCUUACAAAAAACAUCUCAUCAAUGUUAAACAAUGUAUGUAAUAAAUAAAUAACAAACAUUUAUUAUUAGUCUUAGAUUAUGUGGCGCAUCUGCCAUAUAAGCCACUGUGUGUGAGCUGUUACUAUAGAAAUAAUAAUAAUAAUGUAUUAGAAUAAGUGCAUAAAUAGAAACAUAUCGAUCAUGUUACAGCUGAAUCUACAACUUCAAAAUAAUGCAUAUCUUCUGACCGAUCCGAUUCGAGAACUCAACCACACGCUGGUAUAUAAUAUUUUAAUGUAUAUACAAGCUAGCUCAAAUAUCUCAACGAGAAAUAGCUGUAUGUUUUUUUUUGUUUGUUUGUUUGUUUUUUUUAAUAGAUUGAAUGUCUUACUUUAUCGAUCAGAAUGAUAGAUGGCCUUCAAACAUUUCCUUCAACGCGUUUAAAAUUCUGUGAAUGACACCCCCCCCCCCCCCCCCCAGAGACUCGUUCAGCCAGCCAGCUGUGUACAAAGCUGAAUAGAAUUUUUAUGUUGUACUUUUUGAUCUCGUCUUUAUGUUGUCUUAUUUAACAGUAAUGCUUUUCCGCAGGACAAGUUCACACCUGUUCCAUCAGUAAGGAAAACAAAGAAGAGAUGUGUGGCUGAAGAUGAUAACUUUGUUGUUUGGAACAUGCUCUCUGACAAGGAC